Molecule: long non-coding RNA, 969 nt
Organism: Calidris pugnax (ruff)
Lineage: Eukaryota; Metazoa; Chordata; Aves; Charadriiformes; Scolopacidae
Exons: 3
Source: RefSeq, a predicted model, not a curated record
CCCGGCCCCGCCUCCCGUGCGCUCGGCUCCUCUGCGCCGCGCGCUCCCUGCUGUUGCCUGCCUCGCCGCGGCCCAAGCGUCGUUCUGCAGCGCGGGCCCCGCACGGGCGGUUGCCGGGCGCCAUCCUUGGCGGCAGGGGAGGGCCGAGACCACUGGGGAAGCUAGCGAGCCCCUUCGGCGGGGGCAGGAGUAUCUCCUGCCCUCUGGCCGCCCAGGGGCGGUGAGGCGGAAAGCUUCAAACCGGCCGCUGCGACAGGCUGCCGGGGUGCAGGAGGCGAGCCGGGGCCGGGCAGCCCCAGGGAGUUAGCCGAGAACGGACGGAAGAAUGUCAACUGCCACUGUUUCUCCAGGGUUGCCCUUUCUUCUGCUGCAACAGCACAGGACAGAUGGAAAGGAUCUGGAGUGCUCUGCGAGUACAAGGCCUUGCCGUGAAGCAUCAGCAGCCUCGUCACUAGUGAUGGCCAGCCCUGAUGUGGUUUUAGUGAGUUGUGGCUUCCAAGAAUGUCCUUUUUCUGUAAUCUACAAUGUGUAGUUUUGACCUCAGUCGCAAAGAGAUUCUCAGAAAUGGAAUUGUUUCUCAUUCAGAGUAGUGGCCUUUUAGAAUUUACAACCUCACUUGCAUUGUUUGAACUGCAACUUCCAAAUAGCUCUAGCAUACUAUUUAUUAGGUGUACUUAAGCAGUUAGGUAUUUGUUGUACGUGUUUAAAAAAAGGCGACUGAACAUCAGAGGGGUUUCCCCUGCUUUUUAGGAGUGCUCUGGAGUACUUGAUUUCUGCCUGGCUUUCAGUGGUGCAUUUCUCCGGCAGUCCGGUAGCAUCUCUUUUGGGCAGUGCCAACGGGCAGAUGUCCCUCCUCCUUGGGUAGGACAGAAAAAAGCCCCUGGUCAAAUGAUACCUGUGUGUUUUGGAGACGGAGAGCACAAUGGUAUCAGUGCACAGCUGUGCAAGCUCAAUUAGUGCCAAAGGAAA